RNAcentral lists this long non-coding RNA (578 nucleotides) under Gossypium barbadense (sea-island cotton). Its description in RNAcentral is "long non-coding RNA (GBAR_LNC000810)". The record is from RNAcentral. Lineage: Eukaryota; Viridiplantae; Streptophyta; Magnoliopsida; Malvales; Malvaceae.
GUGGAACCAUCCCCCUUUGCCCAAGUUUCCACUUCCCCCAUUCAAAGGCUUCCACCACCAUUAUCCAAUAAUCCCUCCCAUCUACAAGAAACCUCUUCCGCCACCGUCCCCGGUGUACAAGCCCCCUCCAGUUCCCGUAAACCCACCUGUUCCAAUCUAUAAACCUCCACCAGUUCCAGUCUAUAAACCUCCUCCAGUUCCAGUAAAACCACUUCCUCCACCUGUUCCGAUCUACAAACCUCCACCAGUUGAAAAACCACAUCCUCCACCUGUUCCAAUCUACAAACCUCCACCAGUUGAAAAACCACAUCCUCCACCUGUUCCAAUCUACAAACCUCCACCAGUUGAAAAACCACAUCCUCCACCUGUUCCAGUUUAUAAACCUCCACCAGUUGAAAAACCACAUCCUCCACCUGUUCCAGUCUAUAAACCUCCACCAGUUCCAGUAUAUAAGAAACCAUGUCCUCCACCAGUUCCAGUCUAUAAAUCUCCUCCGGUUCCAGUAUACAAGAAACCGCAUCCUCCUCCAGUUCCAGUCUAUAAGAAACCACAUCCACCUCCAGUUCCAGUAUACAAGA